AAACGUGGUGCUGUUCACUAUGAUUAAUUAACCCAGCACCAGAGCCCCGAGCCGCGGUGCUAAAAAUACCUGCUUCCCUCUGAGAUGCGGCAGCUGCCACGCAGCAACUUUUACCCACGCCGUUUGUCAUAAUCUGACACUGCUAAGGAGUGUCCACAGGGCCGUGCGUCUGCAAGAAUCGGACUCUGCAACUCCGCAACUCGGAUUGGAGCCAUCCAUCAGAGGCCCUGCCAGCCCAGGGCGGCACUUUAAUUAAAAUAUGUAAAACAUCCUGGUGGGAGUG
RNAcentral lists this long non-coding RNA (283 nucleotides) under Homo sapiens (human). RNAcentral describes it as "HSALNT0242984". The record is from RNAcentral. Lineage: Eukaryota; Metazoa; Chordata; Mammalia; Primates; Hominidae.